This 389-nucleotide long non-coding RNA is filed under the name Mytilus galloprovincialis (Mediterranean mussel). Lineage: Eukaryota; Metazoa; Mollusca; Bivalvia; Mytilida; Mytilidae. The record is from RNAcentral.
GUUCGAUAAAUGUAAAACAAAUCUAAUAAACCUGCAUGAAUGAUUUCUUAACUAACCGCUAGAAAAAAAUGUGAUUACUUUUUUUACUUCUCAGUAAACCCAACAUUUGCAAUUUUAGAUUUGCAUUUUUUAUCGUAAGCUACCGUCAAAUUCACUGUUGACAUGUUGUAACCAAGGAGCCGCCAUGUUGACUUGCUGAAAUCAGUAAAUGUGCGAAUAUUGCAAUAGAACAGAAAACAAGCAACACCUACCUCAAUACUUUAUUUUAAUGCAAUUGUAUCCGAGUUUAGAAGGUAAACGCAAUAGAAAAACCUUCAGCUUUGACGUUUUCAUUCGUAUGACGUCAUGUUUUGAAAUGACGUUAAUGCGCAAAAAUCAUUACUGGAAUU